ACGAACGCUGGCGGCGUGCUUAACACAUGCAAGUCGAACGAAGAGCGAUGGAAGCUUGCUUCUAUCAAUCUUAGUGGCGAACGGGUGAGUAACGCGUAAUCAACCUGCCCUUCAGAGGGGGACAACAGUUGGAAACGACUGCUAAUACCGCAUACGAUCUAAUCUCGGCAUCGAGGAUAGAUGAAAGGUGGCCUCUACAUGUAAGCUAUCACUGAAGGAGGGGAUUGCGUCUGAUUAGCUAGUUGGAGGGGUAACGGCCCACCAAGGCGAUGAUCAGUAGCCGGUCUGAGAGGAUGAACGGCCACAUUGGGACUGAGACACGGCCCAGACUCCUACGGGAGGCAGCAGUGGGGAAUCUUCCGCAAUGGACGAAAGUCUGACGGAGCAACGCCGCGUGAGUGAUGACGGCCUUCGGGUUGUAAAGCUCUGUUAAUCGGGACGAAAGGCCUUCUUGCGAAUAGUGAGAAGGAUUGACGGUACCGGAAUAGAAAGCCACGGCUAACUACGUGCCAGCAGCCGCGGUAAUACGUAGGUGGCAAGCGUUGUCCGGAAUUAUUGGGCGUAAAGCGCGCGCAGGCGGAUAGGUCAGUCUGUCUUAAAAGUUCGGGGCUUAACCCCGUGAUGGGAUGGAAACUGCCAAUCUAGAGUAUCGGAGAGGAAAGUGGAAUUCCUAGUGUAGCGGUGAAAUGCGUAGAUAUUAGGAAGAACACCAGUGGC
RNAcentral lists this ribosomal RNA (717 nucleotides) under uncultured Veillonella sp. RNAcentral describes it as "bacterial SSU rRNA". It matches the Rfam family "Bacterial small subunit ribosomal RNA", at positions 29 to 716 of the family's 1533-position model. Lineage: Bacteria; Bacillati; Bacillota; Negativicutes; Veillonellales; Veillonellaceae. The record is from RNAcentral.